Molecule: unclassified non-coding RNA, 380 nt
Filed under: soil metagenome
Description: partial contains 5.8S ribosomal RNA, internal transcribed spacer 2, and large subunit ribosomal RNA
Rfam family: 5.8S ribosomal RNA (bases 1-120)
Source: RNAcentral
GAUGAAGAACGCAGCGAAUUGCGAUACGUAAUGUGAAUUGCAGAAUUCAGUGAAUCAUCGAAUCUUUGAACGCAUCUUGCGCUCCUUGGUAUUCCAUGGAGCAUGCCUGUUUGAGUGUCACGUAAACCCUCACACUUGCGACUUUAAAAAUCGCGAGGCGUGGAAUUGGACCGUGCCGUAAUCGGCUCGUCCUGAAAUAUAUUAGCUUGGGCUUCGUUAGAGUUCUCGGCACUGGUGUGAUAAUUAUCUGCGCCGCCGCCUUAGGCCUCUUCUGUUGAGCACUGCUUCAAAUCGUCCUUUGCGGACAGUAUUACAUUAAGCUUUGACCUCAAAUCAGGUAGGACUACCCGCUGAACUUAAGCAUAUCAAUAAGCGGAGGA